CAAUGUUGGCUUGAGUAACGGUGUUAGAACUGAUACAACCUGGAAAUGUUCAGAUGAAGAGGAAGAAGGUUGGAACACUGUCGAAUUUAACGACAGUGCUUGGAAUAACGCAAAACCUGUACAUGUUUCAAAUGUUGAUUGGAUUUGGACGACUGAGAAUCCACUACAAAAGGGCACCAUCUACUGUAGAAAGUCUAUACUCCGAAGUAUCUAUUAUCGAAAGGCUUCAUACAGUAAAUCUAAUGUUGUGAUUAACACCUGUGACCCAAGUAGAUUUCUGGAAUCAAUUUAUACGUCUCGGAAAAUGGAGUGCGUCAGAGCCUGUACAGCGAAUACUGAUUGUAAGCGAUAUUUGUAUUGUUCACGUAAUUCAUCCUGUAAACUAUAUCAAGAUGGCGGAGUUUGUGUUAUGU
Long non-coding RNA from Patella vulgata (common limpet), 413 nucleotides. RefSeq lists it as uncharacterized. The transcript has 3 exons. The record is from RefSeq and is a predicted model, not a curated record. NCBI's taxonomy places the organism in Eukaryota, Metazoa, Mollusca, Gastropoda, Patellidae.